ACGGAAGGCAGCAGUGGGGAAUAUUGGGCAAUGGGCGAAAGCCUGACCCAGCAACGCCGCGUGUAGGAAGAAGGUCUUCGGUUUGUAAACUUCUUUUAUGAGGGACGAAGGACGUGACGGUACCUCAUGAAUAAGCCCCGGCUACCUACGUGCCAGCAGCUGCGGUCAUACGUAGGUGGCAAGAGUUAUCCGGAUUUACUGGGUGUAAAGGGCGCGUAGGCGGGGAUGCAAGUCAGAUGUGAAAUCUAUGGGCUUAACUCAUAAACUGCAUUUGAAACUGUAUUUCUUGAGUGCUGGAGAGGUAGAUGGAAUUCCUGGUGUAGCGGUGAAAUGCGUAGAUAUAAGGAAGAACACCAGUGGCGAAGGCGAUCUACUGGACAGUAACUGACGCUGAGGCGCGAAAGCGUGGGGAGCAAACAGGAUUAGAUACCCUGGUA
This 437-nucleotide ribosomal RNA is filed under the name uncultured Oscillospiraceae bacterium. Its description in RNAcentral is "partial 16S ribosomal RNA". It matches the Rfam family "Bacterial small subunit ribosomal RNA", at positions 341 to 792 of the family's 1533-position model. The record is from RNAcentral. Lineage: Bacteria; Bacillati; Bacillota; Clostridia; Eubacteriales; Oscillospiraceae.